AGAGGUCCCAAGCGUUGUUCGGAUUUACUGGGCGUAAAGGGAGCGUAGGUGGCUUGUUAAGUCUGGUGUGAAAUCUCUGAGCUUAACUCAGAAACUGCACCAGAUACUACCAAGCUUGAGUGUUGGAGGGGAGAUUGGAAUUCUCGGUGUAGCAGUGAAAUGCGUAGAUAUCGAGAGGAACACCAGUGGCGAAGGCGAGUCUCUGGACAACAACUGACACUGAUGCUCGAAAGCUAGGGGAUCAAACGGGAUUAGAUACCCCGGUAGUCCUAGCUGUAAACGGUGCACGCUUGCUGUAAGCGGAAUUAACCCCGCUUGUGGCGUAGCUAACGCGAUAAGCGUGCCGCCUGGGAAGUACGGUCGCAAGAUUA
Molecule: ribosomal RNA, 371 nt
Filed under: uncultured bacterium
Lineage: Bacteria
Description: bacterial SSU rRNA
Rfam family: Bacterial small subunit ribosomal RNA
Source: RNAcentral